GUGGGGAAUAUUGGACAAUGGGCGCAAGCCUGAUCCAGCCAUGCCGCGUGAGUGAUGAAGGCCUUAGGGUUGUAAAGCUCUUUCAGUGGGGACGAUAAUGACGGUACCCACAGAAGAAGCCCCGACUAACUUCGUGCCAGCAGCCGCGGUAAUACGAAGGGGGCUAGCGUUGUUCGGAUUUACUGGGCGUAAAGCGCACGUAGGCGGAUCGUUAAGUCGGGGGUGAAAUCCUGGAGCUCAACUCCAGAACUGCCUUCGAUACUGGCGAUCUUGAGUCCGGAAGAGGUGAGUGGAACUCCUAGUGUAGAGGUGGAAUUCGUAGAUAUUAGGAAGAACACCAGUGGCGAAGGCGGCUCACUGGUCCGGUACUGACGCUGAGGUGCGAAAGCGUGGGGAGCAAACAGGAUUAGAAACCCCGGUAGUCC
This 425-nucleotide ribosomal RNA is filed under the name uncultured bacterium. RNAcentral describes it as "bacterial SSU rRNA". It matches the Rfam family "Bacterial small subunit ribosomal RNA", at positions 354 to 796 of the family's 1533-position model. The record is from RNAcentral.